This is a long non-coding RNA of Dermacentor andersoni, 381 nucleotides long. RefSeq lists it as uncharacterized. The record is from RefSeq and is a predicted model, not a curated record. Lineage: Eukaryota; Metazoa; Arthropoda; Arachnida; Ixodida; Ixodidae.
CUGUUUUCCGCAGUACGAAAACAGCCUUGCAUACGUGGUAGCUGACGCCAUUAGGGUGACGUCACUGCUUUUACGGUGGCUGGUUGGCGCUCGGUUGCUGACGUUAUCGAUUCCGGUUUUGGGAACUUGGGGCAUCUGAUCGACGAGGGCGCACAGAAAGGCAGCCUAUACACUGACGCGUUCAACGUUUCGUCACAGGCACACGGGAGAAAUCGAAGUGACAGAGGCGUAAUCAUGCUUUGUGCUUACAUUGCCGCUACAUUCCUUUGGGGAUGGUUUUGCGGAAAUCAUUGUAAGCUGCCGCUACCAAACAAAGUUAUUAUCAAGGACGGAACGACUUACAAUUCUACUGAUCCCUGUGUGCAGUACCGAUGCCACAAA